This 529-nucleotide ribosomal RNA is filed under the name uncultured bacterium. RNAcentral describes it as "bacterial SSU rRNA". It matches the Rfam family "Bacterial small subunit ribosomal RNA", at positions 8 to 526 of the family's 1533-position model. The record is from RNAcentral.
AGAGUUUGAUCAUGGCUCAGGAUGAACGCUAGCGGCAGGCUUAAUACAUGCAAGUCGAGGGGCAGCAUGUCCCGUAGCAAUACGGGAUGAUGGCGACCGGCAAACGGGUGCGGAACACGUACAGAACCUUCCUUCGAGCGGGGAAUAGCCCAGAGAAAUUUGGAUUAAUACCCCAUAGUAUAUUGGAGUGGCAUCACUUUGAUAUUAAAGAUUUAUCACUUGAAGAUGGCUGUGCGGCUGAUUAGGUAGUUGGCGGGGUAACGGCCCACCAAGCCUACGAUCAGUAACUGGUGUGAGAGCACGACCAGUCACACGGGCACUGAGACACGGGCCCGACUCCUACGGGAGGCAGCAGUAAGGAAUAUUGGUCAAUGGACGCAAGUCUGAACCAGCCAUGCCGCGUGGAGGAUGAAGGCCCCCUGGGUUGUAAACUUCUUUUAUCUGGGACGAAAAAGGGCCUUUCUAGGUCGACUGACGGUACCAGAGGAAUAAGCACCGGCUAACUCCGUGCCAGCAGCCGCGGUAAUUC